ACAUGCAGUUGGUGAAAGGGUGGUUUCUAACAGCCGCAGCUUUGCCAACUUCCGAAGAAACCCACGAGAAAAAAGACCAUGCGGUGUUCAUCCUCCUGAGAGACGCGCUUCUGAAGAAAUCAGUCCGUGUUUGGAAGCGUGUGGUGGACAUUACGCGUUUUGAAUCGGGGAGAUGAAGUGAGAGGAUAACCAAAAAAAUCAUCCCGAAAACAGAAACGCCAUGUUUGGCCACAUGCACACUCACGUUUAGUGUAGAUAACACUUCAGUGUGGACGCGCUGCAGCUGCAGCAGUCAUGGACAGACGUUGUUCUUCUGGACACUCAGUUCUGUGAAGGGACUGCAGUAUGUCACCUAGAUCUUUACCGUAUUAGGAGUAAAUGAAGGCGCCAGCUGUACAAAAUGAGCCAGAGAGAAGACGCCCCUGCAGACCGCGGUUUCCUGGUGGGGAUCAUAUUCUUCAUCCUUGGCCUGGGAACGCUGUUGCCAUGGAACUUCUUCAUGACGGCAUCUAUGGUAACGGAGUUUGGAAAACAUUCCAAAUAUGCAAAUUAAGCAGUGCGCUGGUCAGACAGUAUUUCAACAACAGACUCAACGUGUCUGAACGGAGUAAUGAAACAGAAACCACCAGGAAGGAGUAUUAUUUCAAUAACUGGAUGACUCUGCUGUCCCAGCUGCCUUUGCUGCUCUUCACUCUGCUCAACUCUUUUCUCUAUCAGUGGAUCUCUGAGAAGAUGAGGAUAGCAGGCAGUCUGGUCUUCAUCCUCAUCCUCUUCAUCCUCACAGCUGUGCUGGUGAAGAUCCCAAUGGAGGAGGACCGCUUCUUCUCCGUCACCAUGGCCACCAUCUGGUUCAUCAACUCGUUCAGCGCUGUGUUACAGGGAAGUCUGUUUGGUUUGGUGGGUUUGUUGCCGCAGAGGUACAGCGCUGUCUUUAUGAGCGGACAGGGGCUCGCUGGGACAUUCGCUGCUCUUGCAAUGAUCUUCGCCAUCACAAGUGAAGCUGAUAGUGAGUCUGCAGCUCUGGGUUAUUUCAUCACUCCGUGUGUCGGGACCCUCGUCACGCUCUUCAGUUACAUGCUGCUGCCAAAACUGGAGUUUGCUAUAUUUUACCUGGACAGCAAACGCAAGAGUUACGAGCUUGAGACGUCCAGCCAUCUGCUCCCUACAGAUGCUGCUGAAGACCGUGUGAAGAGCAGCGGUCCGUCUAAUGGCUCGGUGGUGAACGGGGAUCAGAAGAGCUCCAUCCUGCAGGUCUUUAAACAGAUCUGGGUUAUGGCGUUUUGUGUGACGUUUGUGUUCACGGUUACUCUGUCAGUUUUCCCUGCGGUUACGGUGGAUGUGAAAACUGUGUACGGAGGGAAAUGGGAACGAUACUUCAUUCCUGUUCUGUGUUUUCUCUUCUUUAAUUUGAUGGACUUUAUUGGCAGAUCGGUCACGUUAGUUUCUAAGUGGCCGUCUAAAGACAGUCGUUUGUUCCCGCUGCUGGUGGUCUGUCGAGUGGUCUUCGUCCCGCUGCUCAUGAUGUGUAACGUACAGGAGAGACACAUCAUGCCUGUGCUCUUCUCAAACGACGUCAUGUUCGCUGCCAUCAUGGUGUUUUUCUCUGUGUCCAGCGGAUACUUUGUGUGUCUGUCCAUGACCUACGCACCACAACUCGUGGAGCCUAAAGAUGGCGAGACGGCCGGUGCGUUGAUGGCGUUUUUUCUGGCUCUUGGUCUGUCUCUGGGAGCUGCGUUGUCGUUCCCUCUGCGUUUUCUGGUCUGACCUCCCCGUCUCACUCUCGGCUCUCGGGCGUCUGCAGAAGGGCUGCGAUAAUAAAUCAAUAACAGCAGAUGCUGCCCUAAUCACUUCUUGAUAGGUGAUGCAUCAGGAUAUAUUCCCAGCCCUUGUCUGUCACAAAUGUAACGGCAUUGCACUUUAUUUGACAGCUUAAAAGAAAAGUGGGAUCCGAUAGUCUGAGACCACGAUCACUUCAGUUUGGGGAUUUUGAGAAACAUGUAUUGCAUAAAACACAGCAUCUCUGAUUCUGCACUAUUUCUGGGUCAGUAAUCGCAUAAGAGAAAAAAAAAAGUGCGACUCCUUUGUGCUCUUUGCCCAAGUCAUGCUGGGAAAACAUGGAUCAUCAGGUUUGAUGUUUCCUCAGCUUUUCAGAUUAUGCUGAUAAUGGGGAAAAACAGUGCAUUAACACUAGGAUUCACAGAUGCAUGGACUUUGUGCUGUAAUGCAUACGACCUUAAGCCUGUCACAUGUUCAAACACGCAUAGAAAGAUAGUGAAGACACCCAUCUGGAAAUGAAUGUAGUAUUUUUAGGGUCCCGCAGGCGAGAGAAGGUUAUAAAAGCUCUCCAGAUUGUGAUGCGUUUGUUUUUGAUAACAGUAAAUGUAAUUUGGACUCUUAGACCAGUUUUCAAACCGAGCUCCAGAGAAAAGUUUUAUUUGAUUUGACAAUUAUUAUCAGUUAGUUGUGUUUCAUAAAGACUGGUUGAAAUAAAUCAUGUUACAAAUAUUCUGAACUUUAUAUAAUGCUGAUUGUUUUUGAGAGUUAACAGAAGAGACGAUGACAUGAAGUGUCUGAUUAUAUUUGUACUUUUUUUUUUUUUUUUUUUUACAUUCGUUGUAUGAGGUUUAUAAAUGAUAAUAAAUUAAAAAACAUCCAAAACGUUGUAGAGAACAUUUAAAUCCGUUAAAUAAAAAUGUAUGCUGAAGGACACUUUUAUUUGUGCUUGUAGUGAAAUAUAAUACUGUAUCAGAGGAAAAUUACAAUAUAAGGAAAUCUAUCACAGUAGUCUGUUCUAGAUCCAGCAGCAAACGUCUCAGAUUAAGGCAAAACAUCAGAAAUGUCAUUAAAUGCACUAAUGAUUGUUUUUCUUUAUAACGAUAUGAUUGAUAUCAACACAUUGCUCACACACACACAGUUUCUACAAACUAAAUCUGUUCUGUCUAUUACGAAACAAAGGUGGUAUCUCAAAUAUUUUAACUUUAUAACCAGGAUGUUAUAUAACCAGGUGUUUAGUUUUAUUCUUUAUUUUUUGCUGUGUAACACUAGCAGUAUUGCUUACAUUUUUUACCAUGAUUUUA
Molecule: RNA transcript, 3077 nt
Organism: Carassius auratus (goldfish)
Lineage: Eukaryota; Metazoa; Chordata; Actinopteri; Cypriniformes; Cyprinidae
Gene name: equilibrative nucleoside transporter 2-like
Exons: 16
Source: RefSeq, a predicted model, not a curated record